Molecule: ribosomal RNA, 497 nt
Filed under: uncultured bacterium
Lineage: Bacteria
Description: partial 16S ribosomal RNA
Rfam family: Bacterial small subunit ribosomal RNA
Source: RNAcentral
GAUGAACGCUGGCGGCGUGCCUAAUACAUGCAAGUCGAGCGAACAGACGAGGAGCUUGCUCCUCUGACGUUAGCGGCGGACGGGUGAGUAACACGUGGAUAACCUACCUAUAAGACUGGGAUAACUUCGGGAAACCGGAGCUAAUACCGGAUAAUAUAUUAAACCGCAUGGUUCAAUAGUGAAACACGGUUUUGCUGUCACUUAUAGCUGGAUCCGCGCCGCAUUAGCUAGUUGGUAAGGUAACGGCUUACCAAGGCAACGAUGCGUAGCCGACCUGAGAGGGUGAUCGGCCACACUGGAACUGAGACACGGUCCAGACUCCUACGGGAGGCAGCAGUAGGGAAUCUUCCGCAAUGGGCGAAAGCCUGACGGAGCAACGCCGCGUGAGUGAUGACGGUCUUCGGAUCGUAAAACUCUGUUAUUAGGGAAGAACAAAUGUGUAAGUAACUAUGCACGUCUUGACGGUACCUAAUCAGAAAGCCACGGCUAACUCCGUG